This 445-nucleotide long non-coding RNA is filed under the name Androctonus crassicauda. The record is from RNAcentral. Lineage: Eukaryota; Metazoa; Arthropoda; Arachnida; Scorpiones; Buthidae.
CCUAUCUAUAACAAGGAUUUAGAUAGGCAAGAAAUAUAUGUUGGAAGUAUGGUAAGAUCCCCAGACAUCCAACUAAGGGAGCACAAAAACAAUACAGAAAAAGUGGCUUUCAACACAAUGCUUGUCAAGCAUUUCUGCUGGUACGGCAUCAGCUUAGAAUGGAGUCAGAUGCGAAUCAUUAGAACAGUGAGUGGAGCAGAGGACAUUAGAAUUGUCGGGGCCAUUAUUAUUGAACAAUGUAAAAGGUUCUACAUCAUAAAUGACAAUCCUCUGGUUGACAUACUGCCUCAAUGGCUUGUGUAGUCUGGGUACAUAGAAAUCCCACAGUUACCAUCAAUUUUAUCUGUUGCAGUUGAAAACCUUAUAGCUUAUUUAAUAUAUACAUAAACUUAAUAAUUAUAGCUAAUUCUUUCCUUGUUUAAAUACUUAGAUUUGAAAAUUAUUC